RNAcentral lists this long non-coding RNA (508 nucleotides) under Musa acuminata (dwarf banana). RNAcentral's name for it is "long non-coding RNA (MACU_LNC003544)". Lineage: Eukaryota; Viridiplantae; Streptophyta; Magnoliopsida; Zingiberales; Musaceae. The record is from RNAcentral.
ACCUGAUUCUUGACGCCGGUGACGGCGCCGUGGUCCCUCCAGUCGAAGUCGGUGGGGAGGUCGUUGGUGGGGAGGAUGGGCGCCUGAUGGGAGGACGCCGGGGUCUGGCGGCGCAGGCCGAGGUAGGCGCUGCGGAACUCGGCGGGGGUGAGGUCUGAGAACUUGGUGAUCCCGUGGACGGCGGUGGGGUCCAGGCGCUGGUGCCGCGCCGCCCGCCGGAGGUUCGCCUUGAACACCUUGAGCCGGUGGGAUCGCUCCUCCUCGUCGGCGUAGGUCUUCCCGAACCGGCUCAUGAAGCUGGUGAAGUGCGCCUCCGCGUUAAGCGUCAGCCCGUCCUUCUCCAGGUCCACCACCUGCAGGAUCAGCGGAUCUUCAUCGGGUUCAGCACCCCCGCCGAAGGAGGAGGCGAUCACCACCGAGCACAGGAGGAGGAGGAGCGAGAGGAGGAGAGGGCGGCAGCGUAGAUGAUCCAUCGACGGAGGGCUUCGCGUCUCCACCACCUACAAUU